This 497-nucleotide ribosomal RNA is filed under the name uncultured bacterium. RNAcentral describes it as "partial 16S ribosomal RNA". It matches the Rfam family "Bacterial small subunit ribosomal RNA", at positions 28 to 507 of the family's 1533-position model. The record is from RNAcentral.
GAUGAACGCUGGCGGCGUGCCUAAUACAUGCAAGUCGAGCGAACGGACGAGGAGCUUGCUCCUCUGACGUUAGCGGCGGACGGGUGAGUAACACGUGGAUAACCUACCUAUAAGACUGGGAUAACUUCGGGAAACCGUAGCUAAUACCGGAUAAUAUUUUGAACCGCAUGGUUCAAUAGUGAAAGACGGUCUUGCUGUCACUUAUAGAUGGAUCCGCGCUGCAUUAGCUAGUUGGUAAGGUAACGGCUUACCAAGGCAACGAUGCGUAGCCGACCUGAGAGGGUGAUCGGCCACACUGGAACUGAGACACGGUCCAGACUCCUACGGGAGGCAGCAGUAGGGAAUCUUCCGCAAUGGGCGAAAGCUUGACGGAGCAACGCCGCGUGAGUGAUGAAGGUCUUCGGAUCGUAAAACUCUGUUAUUAGGGAAGAACAAAUGUGUAAGUAACUAUGCACGUCUUGACGGUACCUAAUCAGAAAGCCACGGCUAACUACGUG